CCUACGGGUGGCAGCAGUCGAGAAUCAUUCACAAUGGGGGAAACCCUGAUGGUGCGACGCCGCGUGGGGGAAUGAAGGUCUUCGGAUUGUAAACCCCUGUCAUGUGGGAGCAAAUUAAAAAGAUAGUACCACAAGAGGAAGAGACGGCUAACUCUGUGCCAGCAGCCGCGGUACUACAGAGGUCUCAAGCGUUGUUCGGAAUCACUGGGCGUAAAGCGUGCGUAGGCUGUUUCGUAAGUCGUGUGUGAAAGGCGCGGGCUCAACCCGCGGACGGCACAUGAUACUGCGAGACUAGAGUAAUGGAGGGGGAACCGGAAUUCGCGGUGUAGCAGUGAAAUGCGUAGAUAUGGAGAGGAACACUCGUGGCGAAGGCGGGUUCCUGGACAUUAACUGACGCUGAGGCACGAAGGCCAGGGGAGCGAAAGGGAUUAGAUACCCCUGUAGUC
RNAcentral lists this ribosomal RNA (446 nucleotides) under uncultured bacterium. Its description in RNAcentral is "partial 16S ribosomal RNA". It matches the Rfam family "Bacterial small subunit ribosomal RNA", at positions 338 to 795 of the family's 1533-position model. The record is from RNAcentral.